Long non-coding RNA from Ornithorhynchus anatinus (platypus), 1682 nucleotides. RefSeq lists it as uncharacterized. The transcript has 2 exons. NCBI's taxonomy places the organism in Eukaryota, Metazoa, Chordata, Mammalia, Monotremata, Ornithorhynchidae. The record is from RefSeq and is a predicted model, not a curated record.
UGGAGCAUUUCCCCCAGGUUUGCCAAACAGUCUGGCCUACUUGUGGAGCCCUUACUACGGGCACAGCACUGUACUGAGCGCUUGGGUCACAAAGACGCCGGGACGGGAUCGGGAGACUCACCUUCAAGACCUCCUUGGGGAACACAGUUCAGAGCAUUAGUCCCACGGAAGUGGGGGUAAUCGCUGGAGCUCCUCUGCUGGUCCUGCCGGAUCCAAGUCGGAAACCUCGGAAGGCAUCCCUGGAUUAGCGUUCCCAGACUUCUGGGUUUCUCACCGUGCCCUCUAUCGACAGCAGAGGACCACAUCUAAACUCUAAUAUCUCCAGGAGAAUCAUGAGUCUCAAAGGUGAAGAAAGAGAAGGCUUGAACAGUUGCAGACCACCUUCCUUUUUUUUAGGGGGGUGGUUUAUUUUAUGGACGCUUUUCCCCCUCCUCCCAUACGAUAACCCCCACACCAGGAGAGGUGAGGUAUACAGACAGACCUUCACACUUAAUAUGAAGGCAUCCCUCUCGCCUGCUAACACGUAAACACUCCCUGCGACAAUCUCAAAAUCUGUUAGUCCAUGAAGGUCUUGUAGGCUGGGCCUGGAGAUCCAACUUGAGUGUGGACUGGACAGAAUUCAGUUCCGAGUACGUCUGCCUUCCAAGCUCCCUAACUGCAUCUAUGACAACUCAAUCUCAGAACUCUGCUUUUCAGAGAGAGAGAGAGAGAAAAGAGAGGGAGACAGUCGACACUGACAGUCUUCUCGCCUGACUCUCACACUAGACACUCAGAAGCUAUUACUGGCAGGCCCAGACAGGUCCCUUCUCCAGGGGCUGAAGAUACGCAGGAUGACCCUCCAGACAAGACCGUGGGCACAGGGAGGUUUGACCCAUCUGUAGAAUUAAGGUCCCCAGGUCCCCCAGUUGAGUCAGGCAGAGACAGUUCCCUGAACAGAGCCCUAGCCCCUGAUUCCAGAACCAGGCUUGGUGCCAAGAAUGGUAUCCUCCACUUCACUAUUUCUGCCCCAAAGGUCAUCCCAUUACUCUCUCUCUUUAUCAAAUGCACACGCGCAUGCACACACCCCCCCCCCCCCCGCCACCCUCCCACCCCCAUUCCAAAUAAAUAAAAAGCCUUUUCUUUCUGUUGGCAACAGAAAGAACCACAGUUGUUCUUGGACCACAACUGUGGACAGUUGGACUACAGUUCAAUCAGUCAGUAGUCGGGCAAGACCAUGAAUGGGGUUGAUUGUGCCUACCCUGUCAGGAGAUAGUCCUCAAGGUCACAGCAAUAUGUUGAGCAGCAUCAGUUAGGAGAGAAAUAGGCAGUCAGAUUCCUUCCUUGGUCAAUCUACCCUAAACUGGGUUUUGUAGGGCGCCUUUCGUGUAUGAGCCAGCAAAAGUGUGGAAAUGGGAAUUGUGUGUGUGUUUUGGGGUGGGGGGGCAGGGCAGGAGAGGAGAAAAAAGAGCCUGGAGAUUCACACCCAUGAAGCCGCUUCUGGGUACAGGGCAGAGAAGCUCUGAUGGAAGUGAGGAGUAAUUGGAGCUCUUCCACACAUCCUGCCUGAAACCCACUGGGGUUUGAGGAACCUGUCCUUGGAAGGCACACGAGGAUAAGUGAGCCUGAGGGGCCCAAUUCCCCCGAUCCUGCUUUCCUAUGUCUUCGUCCAUUGCCAAAUUCUUUGGUCUCCAGGAUAAUAAAUU